This is a small nucleolar RNA of Penaeus chinensis, 181 nucleotides long. RefSeq annotates it as small nucleolar RNA SNORA23. NCBI's taxonomy places the organism in Eukaryota, Metazoa, Arthropoda, Malacostraca, Decapoda, Penaeidae. The record is from RefSeq and is a predicted model, not a curated record. The transcript has a single exon.
UGUGUGUUGUGUGUGUGUGUGUUGUGUGUGUGUGUGUGUUGUGUGUGUGUGUGUACAGACACAAACACACACACACACACCACACACACACACACACACACAUAUAUAUAUAUAUAUGUGUGUGUGUGUGUGAUUAUAUAUAUAUAUACAACACACACACACACCACACACACACACACAU